RNAcentral lists this ribosomal RNA (576 nucleotides) under uncultured bacterium. RNAcentral's name for it is "bacterial SSU rRNA". It matches the Rfam family "Bacterial small subunit ribosomal RNA", at positions 102 to 674 of the family's 1533-position model. The record is from RNAcentral.
ACGGGUGAGUAAUGCCUAGGAAUCUGCCUGGUAGUGGGGGACAACGUUUCGAAACGAACGCUAAUACCGCAUACGUCCUACGGGAGAAAGCAGGGGACCUUCGGGCCUUGCGCUAUCAGAUGAGCCUAGGUCGGAUUAGCUAGUUGGUGAGGUAAUGGCUCACCAAGGCGACGAUCCGUAACUGGUCUGAGAGGAUGAUCAGUCACACUGGAACUGAGACACGGUCCAGACUCCUACGGGAGGCAGCAGUGGGGAAUAUUGGACAAUGGGCGAAAGCCUGAUCCAGCCAUGCCGCGUGUGUGAAGAAGGUCUUCGGAUUGUAAAGCACUUUAAGUUGGGAGGAAGGGCGUGCACCUAAUACGUGUGUGUCUUGACGUUACCGACAGAAUAAGCACCGGCUAACUCUGUGCCAGCAGCCGCGGUAAUACAGAGGGUGCAAGCGUUAAUCGGAAUUACUGGGCGUAAAGCGCGCGUAGGUGGUUCGUUAAGUUGAAUGUGAAAUCCCCGGGCUCAACCUGGGAACUGCAUCCAAAACUGGCGAGCUAGAGUAUGGUAGAGGGUGGUGGAAUUUCCUGU